This is a non-coding RNA of Mus caroli (Ryukyu mouse), 744 nucleotides long. The record is from RefSeq and is a predicted model, not a curated record. Lineage: Eukaryota; Metazoa; Chordata; Mammalia; Rodentia; Muridae.
GGCAGGGGCAGUGUCGCUCGCAGCCCUUCCGCUUCCUCCUAGACUGGCGGCGUGCAAAGGCUCCUGCAGGUGCAGGCGCCGCGGAGAGUGUGUGCGUGCACCUCGGGGUAAACGCUGCAAGCAGCCAUUCCGGCCAUGCAGCAGAUCCAGCUCAAAUGAAGGAGAGAAAGAGCUCUGUCUGUCCUCAGAGCCCAAUGCAGACCGUAGCCCAGUGCUGUCAGAGUGGAAUGGGCAAAGCAUGAGGCUCUGGGCCUGUUUGCGUGGCUAUGAAGAGGCAGGAUGGCCAAGCGAAUGAUUUGAUCUGACUUGGUCCCUCUCCAAACCUCUAAGGAACGUUCACGAGAAGGCGUUUGCCACCUGGACACAAUGAGGCCUCGUUGGAGGGACAAGCCAGAAGCUGGCUGGGAGCCAGAGACCCGGUUUGAAUGGCUGUUGCUAAGGGGCUGCCAACAGUCCAUCUCAACCCCCAAGAGACUGACCCAGGAUGGGGUGGGGGCCGCCCCCCAUCUCGGAGGCCACAACUCACACCAUUUGUGGGCCAGGCCGUGAUCAGAAUGUGCGGGGACAAGGUGGCUUUGAGUGGCUGAGCAGAGCCUCUCCCCCUCUGCUGGCUUUGGCCUCACUUGGAUUAGAGCCUGCUCAGGGAGUCCCUUUGUUGGCUGCUUGUUAUUCCACAUGCACUGAGCACUGCGCAUUCAUCUUUAUUAGUUCUAAUUGCUUCCCCAUUCUAAUGGGAUCUUGAUA